UGCCCGGUAGUGUAAUGGUAGCACAUCAGAAUUUGGGUCUGAGCGUCAAGGUUCGAAUCCUUGCCGGGCAACAA
Molecule: transfer RNA, 74 nt
Filed under: bacterium
Lineage: Bacteria
Description: tRNA-Gln
Rfam family: tRNA
About the family: Transfer RNA (tRNA) molecules are approximately 80 nucleotides in length. Their secondary structure includes four short double-helical elements and three loops (D, anti-codon, and T loops).
Source: RNAcentral